UGAUGGUACCACUUAUCGCAAGGUUUUUCGAUUUUUUUCCCUCUUCAAUUUGCUUGAUUCUUAGGUUAAUUUCUAUGUUUUUGGUGAACCCCAUUACUGGGUUUUGCUUGGAUUUGCUUAGAUCUACAGGUUUGACAAAUAGGUUUGCUUUUUUUUGGAUCUAGAUUGUAUGGAUUUUAGCAUAUAUGAGCAUCAAUUUUUAAGUUGCUAAGCUUCUGGAUUUGCUGAAUUUCUUUGUUUUGCCUGUUUAUUGUUCUUGUAUGUUGGUUAUUUUGAGAAAUUAGAGUGAUCUAGUGUAUAGUUUUGUUAGAAACUGGAAGUGGUUUUUA
This 329-nucleotide unclassified non-coding RNA is filed under the name Hevea brasiliensis (rubber tree). Lineage: Eukaryota; Viridiplantae; Streptophyta; Magnoliopsida; Malpighiales; Euphorbiaceae. The record is from RNAcentral.